CUGAACCCUUGGCGGGAGCGCCGCCACGCUCCCAAGCGCCGCGCUCUACCGAGUGCGCCACCGGGCCACCCGGGAACUGACAUUUUUGCAUGCUUGUUGCUGGGCAGUCUUCACCCAGGAUGGACAAAGGAAGGAAUUCUUAAAAUAAUGAUCUUGUACAAUGCACCACUGAUCAGUCAUCUCCAGGAACAGCUUCAGAGACUUACGUCAUGCUACCUUAAAAAGAGAAGCACAGAGAGUGAGGGGUCUCAUUCAAGGAUUAUGAAAGGGUAAGGUAAAAAAGUAUAAGCCUUUCUUGGUAGCUUAAUCAAAAGGUGAAUGGAGACCCUAAGAACAUGAGAAAUGCCACACGGGUUGGCCCAGCAGUUCCUCCAGCCCAGAAUUUUGGGUAGUGAUGAAUGUCUUGUGGAAGAAAAUUUCGUCAUCUCAGUCUAGAACUCUGGAGUUUCUGAAGAGCUCUUCCAUUUCUUUCCCAGCCCACUGUGAAUCUACCAUUAGUGAAUUUAAGCAGGAAAGGAGUCUGUUUUUUAACACUUUUUCUCUUCUUGUUUUUUUUGUAUGAAGUUUAGCCAAAGUAGAACUCUCAAAUAAUAAUUAAAGUCAUAGCUUUAUGUUAAAAA
Galeopterus variegatus (Sunda flying lemur) is the source of this 620-nucleotide long non-coding RNA. RefSeq lists it as uncharacterized. The transcript is spliced from 2 exons. The record is from RefSeq and is a predicted model, not a curated record. NCBI's taxonomy places the organism in Eukaryota, Metazoa, Chordata, Mammalia, Dermoptera, Cynocephalidae.